Ictidomys tridecemlineatus (thirteen-lined ground squirrel) is the source of this 101-nucleotide small nuclear RNA. Lineage: Eukaryota; Metazoa; Chordata; Mammalia; Rodentia; Sciuridae. The record is from Ensembl.
UUCCUUCAGCAGCUCAAAUACUAAAAUUUGAACAAUGCAGAGAAGGUUACCAUGGUGUGUGGAAGAAUAAUACACAUAUUUGUGAAGCGUUCUAUAUUUUU